GCAUUUUCAGGAGAUGGGUUUCUGAUACACAUAGAAGGGGGAGUUUCCUGAUUAAAAGAACAAACUAAAGAUGAUAGAGGAAAUGCUGUGACAAAAGCACUGAGUAGCUGAAAAAGAAGUCAGAGUGACCAUAGACAGCUUCAUGGAGAAGCUCAUGGAUCUCUACCUCCAGGGUGACUACCUGCUCAAGAGAGGAGAAUGCUUCCUGUGCCCACUUGUUGCCAUGGUCUAUUGCCUGGGCUAAAGAGAAGCAGCCCUUCGUGUGCCCUGGACCUUAUAGAGACCCUCAUAAGGUCAACCAUUGGCUAAGGGAUAGAUAAUGGUCGCCAUUUCAAAUGAAUGACAAGUCUUCGACGUGGUGCUCCACAGAGUUGUUCUCUCCUCCUGGCCCUGGCUGUCAUUUGAUUUUAUAAUUCCUUAUAUUAAAAAUUCCAUAACAGUAAAGGGAGCAGGAGAGGGCACCAAUGAAUGUGAAAUUUCAACAUAGUUCUAGAAGAUUGAAAAUGAAUAGAAGGUUUUGAUUUGGAAGUCACAGCUUAAAAUACUCACAGACUGAACUAGCAGAACUCUGAUGAGGCUACAGAGUCUGGGUUAGUAGGUAAACGGAGGGUGGAAGAAGACAGGGCUGAAAAUGAAGGAUGUAUCUCAUAAUAUGUGUGAAGUUGCGAAUAUCUCCCCCACUGCCAUUCCAACAUGUCACUGUCUUUAGUCAGGUCAGAAACUUGGUUUCUCUUCUCUUCUCUUCUCUUCUCUUCUCUUC
Hyaena hyaena (striped hyena) is the source of this 760-nucleotide long non-coding RNA. RefSeq lists it as uncharacterized. The record is from RefSeq and is a predicted model, not a curated record. The transcript has 3 exons. Lineage: Eukaryota; Metazoa; Chordata; Mammalia; Carnivora; Hyaenidae.